AGAGUUUGAUCUUGGCUCAGAAUCAACGCUGGCGGCGUGCCUAACACAUGCAAGUCGAACGCGAAAGGGGCUUCGGUCCUGAGUAGAGUGGCGAACGGGUGAGUAACACGUGGGUGAUCUACCUUCAAGUGGGGGAUAACGUUCCGAAAGGAACGCUAAUACCGCAUGAUGUCCUGGGUUUAAAGACCUGGAGACCAAAGCCGGGGACCGCAAGGCCUGGCGCUAGAAGAGGAGCCCGCGUCCGAUUAGCUAGUUGGCGGGGUAACGGCCCACCAAGGCGACGAUCGGUAGCCGGCCUGAGAGGGCGGACGGCCACACUGGAACUGAGACACGGUCCAGACUCCUACGGGAGGCAGCAGUGGGGAAUUGUUCACAAUGGGCGCAAGCCUGAUGACGCAACGCCGCGUGGGGGAUGAAGGUCUUCGGAUCGUAAACCCCUGUCGAACGGGACGAAAGACCUCGGAGCUAAUCAUCUGAGGAGUGACGGUACCGUUAAGGAAGCCACGGCUAACUCUGUGCCAGCCGCCGCGGU
Molecule: ribosomal RNA, 532 nt
Filed under: uncultured Acidobacteriota bacterium
Lineage: Bacteria; Pseudomonadati; Acidobacteriota
Description: bacterial SSU rRNA
Rfam family: Bacterial small subunit ribosomal RNA
Source: RNAcentral